RNA transcript from Prunus persica (peach), 602 nucleotides. RefSeq lists it as uncharacterized. NCBI's taxonomy places the organism in Eukaryota, Viridiplantae, Streptophyta, Magnoliopsida, Rosales, Rosaceae. The record is from RefSeq and is a predicted model, not a curated record. The transcript is spliced from 3 exons.
GCCUUCUAUGUCGCUCCAACUCUCUAAAUCUCUCUCACAAUCUGGUUUUUUGUUUGUCGUUGGCUCUCUCUCUCUCCAGCCUCUUCCUCCAUUCCCGAGUAGAUUAUCCAACACUCUCAGCCUCUUUAUGACAGGAAAUUCAAGAGAGGAAAUUCAUAAGAGAAAAAGAAUCAUUUUGCUGGAUAUACUGAUUCAUGUAAGAAUUUGUUUCUCUCAAUUGUCAACUAAUUCACACACAGAUGGCUGCCCUGCUUGCUAUUGAUCUUGAGAAGAUAUUUAAGAGGGUGAAAAAAGCUUGGAAGCAUGGUAAGGAGGAGCUUGGUGGAUUAUGUGAUGAAGAGUUUGUUGAUAUUGGUACAAGUGAAAGAACUAUAAAGGAGAAGCUUAAGUGUACCUUAUUUAGUGAUUAUGAAGGUAUACAUUUAUAUAUGUAGAACUUGACUUGUAGGAUAAUCAUGUAUAUCAAUUUGGUUUAGGUUUAUUCUUGUAAUUAGGCAUGUAGUUAGAAGUCCUAGAAUACUUCAAUCUUCUAGAUUUUAUUUUGUUUUAUUGUACUUUUGAUAUUGUAUGCUUUUGAAUAUUAAUAAGUAAUUGAUACGGUU